GAGUCAUAGCUGCCUGGUAGGGGCUUUCUCAGGGAUGUUGUUGUGAACCAUCUAUUGGAUUCUUUCUUCUGAUUUGUCCCAGGGAACACAGUUAUAAUGACAAGAUUUUGAUCAGGGCAUCACCUAGCAGCCUCACUAGCUACUAGGUUCUAGUGCCCAUGGGUAAUCCACUUCACAAUUGAGACAGUAUUUUCUACUCUUAUCUGUGGAACAAAUUCACUCCAAAUGUAUAGUGUGGACUCUUUAUGCCUUUGAAAAAACUUACAAACUAAAUAUAAAUAUUUCUCUCUGGGCAAGAUUAGAUUCUGCUGAACUGGUAUCUGUAACUAUCCAGAGUCUGCACAGCUAUUAUCCCUAACGCACCAAGUAGUCAUAACUCAGUCGGCUCUGUGCUUUCUGAACCAAUCCUCAAGACCACUCCAUCAGUUUUUGUGUGUGGCUAGUGUUAGUUCCCAUUGCUUGCUAAAACUGCAUGCUUUUCACUGCAUCUAGGUCCCAAAGCAGUACGUACUGUCUGUUAAAUCUGCAGCGAGAUUUAAAGUAUUGGUUAUCAAUACUCCACAGUUGUUAUUGCUAAGGAAUGAGAUUAUUUUAUUGUCAGGCUGGUUCUCCUCCAGACCUCCACUGGCAAAAUGUGAAGGAGUUGCUAUAGAUUUCAGUGCUCUAGUGGUUUUUUUCUCUCUCUAAUCAACAUAACACUAUAUAACCCAUAACACCUCUAGAACUCUACCUGAUAUUUACAAUGCGAAAGCAGCCUUCUUAUUUUAAAAUAGCACCAGUAGCUCUUUUGAUUUUAUGAUUAACCUAGUCAGGAAACAUCAUAGAGAUCAGGAUAAGCUCUCACCCCUGAAACUUGACCCCUACGGACAUCUUCGUUUUCUGGGUAUUAGUAGUUAAGCACAUUCAGUGGGCUAGGCAGGUAAAUUAUUGAAUCUUCACUAUGUUCUGGGAAUUAAAAAGAUAAAAAAGACAGAUGUCUGGACUUUUGUUGGAGGAAAUUGGCAUGUAAACAAAACAAUUUCAAAUCUGUGUGUUAACUGCUGGGAGAGAGAUAUGUAAGAGGCACAGUGGGUUUCUGUUGUUGCUGUUUUUUGUUAUUUUGUUUUUAACAGAUGGAAUAAUCCAUUUUUGCCUGGGGACAGUGAAAGGACAGAGGAACGUCUCAUUAGAGAAGGUGUUUGACUUGGACCCUGAAGAAUUUUGCCAGGUGGAGAUAGAGAAAGACUCUAGCCAAGGAAAAGUUAAUUUGAAAAGGCAGAGAGUCAGAAGAAAGCAAACCCUUUUUUCCUUCAUGGCAAAUUUCUCAAAACGGAAUUGCUGGAUCAAAGGAGAUGUACACAUAGAAGACUUUUGUUAUGUCCUGCUUCAUUUCCCUCCUGGAAGAUGCAUCAACCUCUACGCCCACCAGCAGCCAAGUGCUAAUUUUUGAAAGUACACUGUAAUGCAUCCAAUGUAGACAAUGGUGUGGGUGAAUUUAAAGCUGCUUUUUAGUAAAUUCACAAGGAAAUAUCUGAGUCGGUUAAAAAGAAGUUCCUCUUUUCCGACUACAUUUCCAGUCAUAGGAACAAUGAGAUCCUCGGGAAGAUACAAAAAUGAAUGUGACAACCCUGGCGUACGACUGCUUCAGGAAAUCUUCAUAUUCUCUCUGACUUUGGAGCAACUAGAGAAACUUUUAAACAAAGAAUUGCUUAACGUUCAUCAUGAUGGAUCCAGGUCCUAUCACCCCAGGCUCUUUCCUAAGGCCUGGCCCUCACUCCUACUGUUCUUUCCUCCUGCUGUCAUCUCCUCAGGUCUCUGGAACAUUCCAAUAGACCAAAUUUGGAAAAGAAAGCCAUUACAUUGUGGAAAAUUUAAAGGCUAAGACAUUCCAAAGACAAAUG
This is a long non-coding RNA of Equus caballus (horse), 1880 nucleotides long. Lineage: Eukaryota; Metazoa; Chordata; Mammalia; Perissodactyla; Equidae. The record is from Ensembl.